Non-coding RNA from Aedes albopictus (Asian tiger mosquito), 73 nucleotides. The record is from Rfam. NCBI's taxonomy places the organism in Eukaryota, Metazoa, Arthropoda, Insecta, Diptera, Culicidae.
CUCCAGAUAGCUUAAUGGAUAUAGCUAAGGAUCGCCAAUCCGGAGACGGCGGGUUCGAUUCCCGUUCCGGUCG